This 489-nucleotide ribosomal RNA is filed under the name Triticum aestivum (bread wheat). RNAcentral's name for it is "partial small subunit ribosomal RNA". The record is from RNAcentral. Lineage: Eukaryota; Viridiplantae; Streptophyta; Magnoliopsida; Poales; Poaceae.
AUGAAAUUCUGUUUUUCUAUGCUCGAGCAGCUCAUGUUACAACUAGGGCUGCCUAUAUCUUCCAUGCUAGGUGGGUUAUUAUCAAGAGGAGUGGACUUCGCUCCUCAUUCACGAGAAAGGGUCGGUAACCGGGAUGCCCAGUCCCAUGAUCCAAAAAGAUCAAAGCAAAUCAAUAUAAUUAAACAAAACUCCCCCAGGGCUAUUGUUAUUUGGAGGUACUCGUUGUUUCGAGCAAGCCAUGGAUUGAUGCUUGUUGGUGGUUGGGGGAGUAUAAACCUUUACAAUUCUGUUUGGGAACUGCCUAUAAUGCAUGUAGUAUGGAAGAUACAGCCAUCUCAUAGUUGUUGCAUUGACAGCGAAAGUAUGCCGCUAAAAAUGUUAUUCAAUCUCUAUUUUAAAAUAGAGCUCUGGCACCUCUACAAAUCCCUACCUCCCUCUGCGAAGGGCCUAUCUAUUACUUUUAUGUUGAGUCAUCAUCCCUCUUAUUAA